GAUGAACGCUGGCGGCGUGCCUAAUACAUGCAAGUCGAGCGAACAGACGCGGAGCUUGCUCCUCUGACGUUAGCGGCGGACGGGUGAGUAACACGUGGCUAACCUACCUAUAAGACUGGGAUAACUUCGGGAAACCGGAGCUAAUACCGUAUAACAUGUUGAACCGCUUGGUUCAACAGUGAAAGACGGUCUUGCUGUCACUGAUCGAUGGAUCCGCGCCGCAUUAGCUAGUUGGUAAGGUAACGGCUUACCAAGGCAACGAUGCGUAGCCGACGUGAGAGGGUGAUCGGCCACACUGGAACUGAGACACGGUCCAGACUCCUAAGGGAGGCAGCAGUAGGGAAUCUUCCGCAGUGGGCGAAAGCCUGACGGAGCAACGCCGCGUGAGUGAAGAAGGUCUUCGGAUCGUAAAACUCUGUUAUUAGGGAAGAACAAAUGUGUAAGUAACUAUGCACGUCUUGACGGUACCUAAUCAGAAAGCCACGGCUAACUACGUG
Molecule: ribosomal RNA, 497 nt
Filed under: uncultured bacterium
Lineage: Bacteria
Description: partial 16S ribosomal RNA
Rfam family: Bacterial small subunit ribosomal RNA
Source: RNAcentral